UUUGGCCGAGGCGUAGCGGCCGCGGGCAUCUCCGAAUUCGGCGAGCACCCGGGCACCGAGGAUGACGCCUAUCCCGGGUUGA
The sequence is a small RNA, 82 nucleotides long. It matches the Rfam family "Actinobacteria sRNA Ms_AS-4".